AGUGAACGCUGGCGGUAGGCCUAACACAUGCAAGUCGAACGGCAGCACAGUAAGAGCUUGCUCUUACGGGUGGCGAGUGGCGGACGGGUGAGGAAUACAUCGGAAUCUACUUUUUCGUGGGGGAUAACGUAGGGAAACUUACGCUAAUACCGCAUACGACCUACGGGUGAAAGCAGGGGAUCUUCGGACCUUGCGCGAUUGAAUGAGCCGAUGUCGGAUUAGCUAGUUGGCGGGGUAAACGCCCACCAAGGCGACGAUCCGUAGCUGGUCUGAGAGGAUGAUCAGCCACACUGGAACUGAGACACGGUCAAGACUCCUACGGGAGGCAGCAGUGGGGAAUAUUGGACAAUGGGCGCAAGCCUGAUCCAGCCAUACCGCGUGGGUGAAGAAGGCCUUCGGGUUGUAAAGCCCUUUUGUUGGGAAAGAAAAGCAGCAGGUUAAUACCCCGCUGUUCUGACGGUACCCAAAGAAUAAGCACCGGCUAACUUCGUG
RNAcentral lists this ribosomal RNA (492 nucleotides) under uncultured bacterium. RNAcentral describes it as "partial 16S ribosomal RNA". It matches the Rfam family "Bacterial small subunit ribosomal RNA", at positions 29 to 507 of the family's 1533-position model. The record is from RNAcentral.